UUACACAGACUGUGAGAGAGAGUGAGAUUAGAGAUCGAGGGAGGAUCCGACCAUCCAAAUCGGCGGACCUCCGGACAACCUUCAAGUUCGGCACGAUGGCGAUGCAUGUCCGCCCAACCUUCAAAUCGGCAGACAACGACGCAAGGCCGACCAACCUUUAAGUCCGGCACGACGGAGACGCACGGCGGACCGUCCAUAACUUGCAAAUCCUUGUUCGGUAACCAUUAAUACCAAACCUACCCGCAAUCUGGUUGCCGGAGGAUCACGGUACUCUCCAUUGGUUCCGUUCCGUAGCGCCACCCGUUCAGAUCCACCAUUUACGUCGAAGAUACCACAUGUUUAUGCUUUUAUUGAAAGAUUUUGAAAUGGGUUCUAUUUUUCUUUGUUUAUUUAAUAAUUGAUAGGGCUUUUUUUCAAAUCAUAUAUUUUGCUAAUCAAAUAAAUAAUCAUCAGGUUGCAUUUUUAGUUUGUUGAAAAAAUUGUAUUAAUGGUGAGUUUGAUCUCCUGUACAAUGUUUUGAUAAAUUCAUGGUGAAAAUGUCAAGAUUUUGAAUUGUUUACUGGUUGUUUUGGACAUAAGGGAGAAAAAGCUUCAUCUUUCUUUGUUGAUGAUGUUUGCGGUUGGAAAAGGAAACAAUAUGAUCUUGAACGGAUCUGAUUAAGUACGUCGGAGAAAAAAAGGAUAAAGAUUUGUGGGUGUGAAGGAUGCGUGUUUGUAGGUGUGACGGUGGACGGCUGUUGGUGGUUAUGAUAGAGGAACGCACCCGGCGAUUUUUUACGUAAAGGGUGUAUUGGAAAGGUGCCAACAAAUCGACUGGACCAAUACAAAAGUGCCACGUGGACGGAACUCUAAAAUCAAAUAGGUUCCUCGAGUGAAACGUUACGAUGGUGUGUUUAAAGGGAACCGAAGUUGCUUUUUGUAUAGAUAUAUAAUACGACCACAUUACAUCAACCAUCUAAUU
Molecule: long non-coding RNA, 961 nt
Filed under: Helianthus annuus (common sunflower)
Lineage: Eukaryota; Viridiplantae; Streptophyta; Magnoliopsida; Asterales; Asteraceae
Description: hypothetical non coding rna
Source: RNAcentral